Molecule: ribosomal RNA, 519 nt
Filed under: uncultured eukaryote
Lineage: Eukaryota
Description: SSU rRNA
Rfam family: Eukaryotic small subunit ribosomal RNA
Source: RNAcentral
AGGGCACCACCAGGAGUGGAGCCUGCGGCUUAAUUUGACUCAACACGGGAAAACUCACCCGGCCCGGACACUGGAAGGAUUGACAGAUUGAGAGCUCUUUCUUGAUUCAGUGGGUGGUGGUGCAUGGCCGUUCUUAGUUGGUGGAGUGAUUUGUCUGGUUAAUUCCGAUAACGAACGAGACUCUAGCCUACUAAAUAGAUCGUCGGCUUACAAACGCCGGCGAGACUUCUUAGAGGGACAGGCGGUGAUUCUACCGCACGAAACAGAGCAAUAACAGGUCUGUGAUGCCCUUAGAUGUCCGGGGCCGCACGCGCGCUACACUGAAGUGAUCAGCGUGCUUUUUCAACCUACUCUGUCAAGAGUGGGGAACCCAAUGAACCUUCUUCGUGAUUGGGAUAGGGGAUUGUAAUUAUUCCCCUUGAACGAGGAAUUCCCAGUAAGCGCGAGUCAUAAGCUCGCGUUGAUUACGUCCCUGCCCUUUGUACACACCGCCCGUCGCUACUACCGAUUGAAUGUUUU